This 139-nucleotide unclassified non-coding RNA is filed under the name uncultured fungus. Its description in RNAcentral is "sequence contains ITS1". The record is from RNAcentral. Lineage: Eukaryota; Fungi.
GUGUAUAAAUAAUCGCUAUGCUAGACUCGGUCAAACUCGACAAGCGUGAAUGUGGUUUGGCAGAGAGAGGAUAAAUCUCUUUGAUCCUCUCUCCCCUCCUUUUCUCAUAAUGAUCCUUCCGCAGGUUCACCUACGGAAA